CCUACGGGGUGCAGCAGUGGGGAAUAUUGCACAAUGGGGGGAACCCUGAUGCAGCGACGCCGCGUGAGUGAAGAAGUAUUUCGGUAUGUAAAGCUCUGUCAGCAGGGAAGAAGAAAGACGGUACCUGACCAAGAAGCCCCGGCUAACUACGUGCCAGCAGCCGCGGGAAUACGUAGGGCGCAAGCGUUAACCGGAUUUACUGGGUGGAAAGGGAGCGUAGACGGCAGGGCAAGUCUGGUGUGAAAUGCAGGGGCCCAACCCCUUGACUGCUCUGGACACUGUCCGGCUGGAGUGCAGGAGAGGUAAGUGGAAUGCCUAGUGUAGCGGUGAAAUGCGUAGAUAUGACGAAGAACCCCGAUUGCGAAGGCAGCUUGCUGCAGCGGAACUGACGCUGAUGCUCGAAAGCGCGGGUAUCGAACAGGAUUAGAUACCCCAGUAGUC
RNAcentral lists this ribosomal RNA (441 nucleotides) under uncultured bacterium. RNAcentral describes it as "partial 16S ribosomal RNA". It matches the Rfam family "Bacterial small subunit ribosomal RNA", at positions 338 to 795 of the family's 1533-position model. The record is from RNAcentral.